GAUGAAGAACGUAGCGAAAUGCGAUAAGUAAUGUGAAUUGCAGAAUUCAGUGAAUCAUCGAAUCUUUGAACGCUCAUUGCGCCGGCCAGUAGUCUGGCGGGCAUGCCUGUUCGAGCGUCAUUUCAACCAUCAAGCCCCAGGCUUGUGUUGGAGCCCUGCGGCUGCCGCAGCCUCCCAAAACCAGUGGCGGGCUCGCUAUCACACCGAGUGCAGUAGUUUACUCUUCGCUCAGGGCGUGUGGCGGGUGCUAGCCGUAAAACCCCCAACUUCUCAAGGUUGACCUCGGAUCAGGUAGGAAUACCCGCUGAACUUAAGCAUAUCAAUAAGCGGAGGA
RNAcentral lists this unclassified non-coding RNA (334 nucleotides) under soil metagenome. RNAcentral's name for it is "partial contains 5.8S ribosomal RNA, internal transcribed spacer 2, and large subunit ribosomal RNA". The stretch from base 1 to 120 matches the Rfam family "5.8S ribosomal RNA", at positions 35 to 154 of the family's 154-position model. The record is from RNAcentral.